GAUGAACGCUGGCGGCGUGCCUAAUACAUGCAAGUCGAGCGAACAGAUGAGGAGCUUGCUCCUCUGACGUUAGCGGCGGACGGGUGAGUAACACGUGGAUAACCUACCUAUAAGACUGGGAUAACUUCGGGAAACCGGAGCUAAUACCGGAUAAUAUAUUGAACCGCAUGGUUAAUUAGUGAAAGACGGUUUUGCUGUCACUUAUAGAUGGAUCCGCGCCGCAUUAGCUAGUUGGUAAGGUAACGGCUUACCAAGGCAACGAUGCGUAGCCGACCUGAGAGGGUGAUCGGCCACACUGGAACUGAGACACGGUCCAGACUCCUACGGGAGGCAGCAGUAGGGAAUCUUCCGCAAUGGGCGAAAGCCUGACGGAGCAACGCCGCGUGAGUGAUGAAGGUCUUCGGAUCGUAAAACUCUGUUAUUAGGGAAGAACAAAUGUGUAAGUAACUAUGCACGUCUUGACGGUACCUAAUCAGAAAGCCACGGCUAACUACGUG
RNAcentral lists this ribosomal RNA (497 nucleotides) under uncultured bacterium. RNAcentral describes it as "partial 16S ribosomal RNA". It matches the Rfam family "Bacterial small subunit ribosomal RNA", at positions 28 to 507 of the family's 1533-position model. The record is from RNAcentral.